Molecule: ribosomal RNA, 690 nt
Filed under: Triticum aestivum (bread wheat)
Lineage: Eukaryota; Viridiplantae; Streptophyta; Magnoliopsida; Poales; Poaceae
Description: partial small subunit ribosomal RNA
Source: RNAcentral
AUGCAAGAGGUGUUCACCAUGGUUGGGUUUGGUCAGUUCAGCUGCCAGCCGGGCCCCUUCUGCCAGGGCCCCAACAACACCCGGCUGGGCACGAGCAUGAACAACGUGUCGUUCCAGCUCCCCAGCACCGUCUCCUUGUUGCUACAGGCGCACUACGGCCGCAUCCCCGGCGUCUUCACCGACGACUUCCCGGCUCGCCCGCCGGUGGCCUUCGACUACACCUCACAGAACGUCCCCCGCAUGCUGUGGCAACCGGUCAAGGGCACGAGGCUGUACCGCGUCAAGUACGGUGUCGUGGUGCAGAUGGGUCAAGUACGGUGCCGUGGUGCGGAUGGUGUUCCAGGACACAGGACACGGGCAUCUUCGCGGCGGAGGAGCACCCCAUGUACAUCCACGUGUACCACUUCUACGUGCUCGCCACGGGGUUGGGCAACUACGACCCGAGGCGGGACGCGCGCAGGCAGGUUCAACAUGGUCGACCCGCCCAGCCGGAACACCAUGGGCGUGCCCGUCGGCGGCUGGGCCGUGGUGCGCUUCGUGGCGGACAACCCGGGGGUGUGGCUCGUGCACUGCCACAUCGAUGCGCAUCUCUCCGGCGGGCUUGCCAUGGCACUGCUGGUGGAGGACGGCAAGACGAAGCUCGAGGCCACGGUGCCGCCCCCGCUUGACCUGCCCGUCUGUGGCCUCUAA